RNAcentral lists this ribosomal RNA (276 nucleotides) under uncultured Glomus. Its description in RNAcentral is "partial 18S ribosomal RNA". It matches the Rfam family "Eukaryotic small subunit ribosomal RNA", at positions 548 to 829 of the family's 1831-position model. Lineage: Eukaryota; Fungi; Glomeromycota; Glomeromycetes; Glomerales; Glomeraceae. The record is from RNAcentral.
UUGGAGGGCAAGUCUGGUGCCAGCAGCCGCGGUAAUUCCAGCUCCAAUAGCGUAUAUUAAAGUUGUUGCAGUUAAAAAGCUCGUAGUUGAAUUUCGGGGUUAGUGGGUUGGUCAUGCCUCUGGUAUGUACUGGUCUCACUGAUUCCUCCUUCCUUAUGAACCGUAAUGCCAUUAAUUUGGUGUUGCGGGGAAUUUGGACUGUUACUUUGAAAAAAUUAGAGUGUUUAAAGCAAGCUAACGCUUGAAUACAUUAGCAUGGAAUAAUGAAAUAGGACG